AGCGAACGCUGGCGGCAGGCCUAACACAUGCCAGUCGAACGAACCUUUCGGGGUUAGUGGCGGACGGGUGAGUAACACGUGGGAACGUGCCUUUAGGUUCGGAAUAACUCAGGGAAACUUGUGCUAAUACCGAAUGUGCCCUUCGGGGGAAAGAUUUAUCGCCUUUAGAGCGGCCCGCGUCUGAUUAGCUAGUUGGUUGAGGUAAUGGCUCACCAAGGCGGCGAUCAGUAGCUGGUCUGAGAGGAUGAUCAGCCACAUUGGGACUGAGACACGGCCCAAAAUCCUACGGGAGGGAGCAGUGGGGAAUAUUGCGCAAUGGGCGAAAGCCUGACGCAGCCAUGCCGCGUGAAUGAUGAAGGGCUUAGGAUUGUAAAAUUCUUUCACCGGGGACGAUAAUGACGGUACCCGGAGAAGAAGCCCCGGCUAACUUCGUG
This 434-nucleotide ribosomal RNA is filed under the name uncultured bacterium. RNAcentral describes it as "partial 16S ribosomal RNA". It matches the Rfam family "Bacterial small subunit ribosomal RNA", at positions 29 to 507 of the family's 1533-position model. The record is from RNAcentral.